Molecule: ribosomal RNA, 253 nt
Filed under: uncultured bacterium
Lineage: Bacteria
Description: partial 16S ribosomal RNA
Rfam family: Bacterial small subunit ribosomal RNA
Source: RNAcentral
UACGUAGGUGGCAAGCGUUGUCCGGAUUUACUGGGCGUAAAGAGCGCGCAGGCGGUCGUUCAAGUCGCGUGUGAAAGCCCCCGGCUCAACUGGGGAGGGUCACGCGAUACUGAUCGACUCGAAGGCAGGAGAGGGUAGUGGAAUUCCCGGUGUAGUGGUGAAAUGCGUAGAUAUUGGGAGGAACACCAGUGGCGAAGGCGGCUCACUGGACCGGAACUGACGCUGAGGCGCGAAAGCGUGGGGAGCAAACAGG